RNAcentral lists this long non-coding RNA (1206 nucleotides) under Fragaria vesca (wild strawberry). Its description in RNAcentral is "long non-coding RNA (FVES_LNC003295)". The record is from RNAcentral. Lineage: Eukaryota; Viridiplantae; Streptophyta; Magnoliopsida; Rosales; Rosaceae.
AUAGAACAAAAAUUUCUAAUAACAAUGUUUUACCAAAUACGAGUGUUUUUUAUUGCACAAAAUUACUUUGAAACCAUUUGCCAAAAAAAGUUCACUGUACUCGGUUCCGAUCGAAUUAUAACAUGUAUAUAUGUUAUAAUUCUUUAACUUACCAAAGUCGUGAUUAUAGAUACAAGUGGGCGGCUACAUAUAUAUCUUUCCCUGGAAAACGUCAAGAAAAUACAAUCAAACUAGCUAACCUUCCCACCACAACAAUGUAAUGUAUUCGAAAACGUCAAUAAAUUAAACUGUAGUUUGAUUCUUUGACCUAAAGAAAAUUCCAGUUUGAUUGUUUCCGGUUCGAAUUGAACGCGAGAAAAUGCUUAGUGAUGAUUCUUCUGGCAAAUCGGAAACUGGAAACUGGGAACCUAGCCAUGGCAUGUGGGAUGAGCUAGGUUGCUGUAAUUAGCUGAAUCAGAAUUGUGGUCGAUCGGUUUCAUGCAGAAGCCUCCAAACUUCCACAUGGGGUUUUCAGGUCAUCAAUUGUCACAUAUAUCACUUUGCAAACGAUACCGUCGUGUUUGUAAACCCUAGCGGGCUCCCGGUUUUUAGGAGUCACACCCGAAAACCAUUACCACCUUCCAAACAAUCUGUGUUCGGCUAGCUGCUGCCUUCUGUGUAAAGGCAAUGGCCAAUGGGGCCUUAAACAUAGAUAGGGUUUGAUUAAGAAAACAAAGUUGGUACUACAAACGCAAAUGCAGCCUUCUAAAAUGGAAGUUAAUUUCCACAAAGGCACUAACCAGUUUUAGCGUACGGUUUAUGAUUAAAAAUUGACCAUUUUGUCAUUUUGACCCACCUUAAUUAUCUAUUCACUUCACUCCAGGAAUCCAUUGUACGUUAAUCACAAAACAAUAGUGUUAGUUGAGAGAGGAGUUGCCAUAUAUGCUCGACGACAUGUAGGCUAACACAAUUUGCUUUCAUUUUUAUAAGAUUUUGUUUCUGUCCAAGAUUGGAUUAAAAAUUGCAUUUAAUCGUGUCUUCUUUUAUCGGAUCUUUGAAAUUAAGACAAUCGUUUGUCUGAACACAAAGACUUCAAUUCACCCUGAAUUCAAUUUAUUUGGAAUAUGAACUGAUUGGUUUAGUUUGAAAUAUGAUAGUUAACCAAAAUUUCUGCCCUCUAUUGAAUAGCCUAGACCAUUAUUCGAUCAUGGAUCCGCCACUAGCUAU